GUCUACAGCUAUACCACCUUUGAUGUACUUCACUUCAUCUGAUCUCGGAAGCUAAGGAGAGUUGGUCCUGUUUAGUACAUGAAUGGGAGAAU
RNAcentral lists this ribosomal RNA (92 nucleotides) under Microtus ochrogaster (prairie vole). Lineage: Eukaryota; Metazoa; Chordata; Mammalia; Rodentia; Cricetidae. The record is from RNAcentral.